Molecule: ribosomal RNA, 253 nt
Filed under: uncultured bacterium
Lineage: Bacteria
Description: partial 16S ribosomal RNA
Rfam family: Bacterial small subunit ribosomal RNA
Source: RNAcentral
UACGAAGGGGGCGAGCGUUGUUCGGAUUUACUGGGCGUAAAGGGCGCGCAGGCGGCUACAUUUGUCAGGCGUGAAAGCCCCGGGCUUAACCUGGGAACUGCGUUUGAUACGGUGUGGCUAGAGUUCGGGAGAGGAGAGUGGAAUUCCCAGUGUAGAGGUGAAAUUCGUAGAUAUUGGGAAGAACACCCGUGGCGAAGGCGGCUCUCUGGGACGGUACUGACGCUGAGACGCGAAAGCGUGGGGAGCGAACAGG